RNAcentral lists this non-coding RNA (264 nucleotides) under Dyadobacter psychrophilus. Lineage: Bacteria; Pseudomonadati; Bacteroidota; Cytophagia; Cytophagales; Spirosomataceae. The record is from RNAcentral.
CAUCUUUGCGGCUCAAUUGGUUUGCGCCUUUGGGCGUGAUGAAAAGGGAAUCCGGUGAAAAUCCGGAGCAGUACCCGCUGCUGUAAGUUCAUAAUGAAGCGUUGCAACAAGUUUGUGCCACUGGGAAGAAAUUUGAAUGAGUGAAUGAAUGAAUGAAUAAUAAAACAUUCACUCAUUCAAUCAUUCACUCAUUCACUCAUUAAUCACCCGGGAAGGCGUUGCGACGGAACGAGCCAGAAGACCUGCCAGUCGAUAUUUUAUCCG